CUUCUGAACUGCGCGCCAAUCCAACAGAAAUUAUCGUAUUAUCGUGGGACUUGGGAGAGUAGGGACUUUGGCACAGAGCCUUCCGGUGAAUCCAAUAGCGAUGUUUGGACGAUGCUCUUCGGUAUGCCUUCUCAUGGAGCCUUCUCAUCAUGCACGAUGGAGCAGCGAACGAUAAAGUGGACAACGCAGCGGAACAUGGAAAACGGCGACGUAGUGCUUAACGUACACGAACAUGUCAACGAGCGUAGUGAAAAAGGCUUGGCGGAAGCAAAGCAAAAAUUAAACAGUUGUAGAAAGAUUGUUGAGUUGGAAUAGUGAAUAAAUGCAACAAUUUUGUUUACAACAGCUGAA
Anopheles bellator is the source of this 351-nucleotide long non-coding RNA. RefSeq lists it as uncharacterized. The transcript has 2 exons. The record is from RefSeq and is a predicted model, not a curated record. NCBI's taxonomy places the organism in Eukaryota, Metazoa, Arthropoda, Insecta, Diptera, Culicidae.